UUUCCGUAGGUGAACCUGCGGAAGGAUCUUUAGUGAAUUGAAUAUGUUAGCGGACCUCUUCGGAGUCCCUAGCAUCAAAUCAUAUCCAUAACACCUGUGAACUGUAUGGCUGUCUUGAAAACGAAAGUGAUUAGAGCGCCUGCCCAUUUUAUACAAACAUUAAAGUAACAAAAGUAGUCUUAUUAUAAUCUCAUAAAACUUUCAACAACGGAUCUCUUGGCUCUC
RNAcentral lists this unclassified non-coding RNA (225 nucleotides) under plant metagenome. Its description in RNAcentral is "partial contains small subunit ribosomal RNA, internal transcribed spacer 1, and 5.8S ribosomal RNA". The record is from RNAcentral.